Asterias rubens (European starfish) is the source of this 2576-nucleotide long non-coding RNA. RefSeq lists it as uncharacterized. Lineage: Eukaryota; Metazoa; Echinodermata; Asteroidea; Forcipulatida; Asteriidae. The transcript has 3 exons. The record is from RefSeq and is a predicted model, not a curated record.
UAUUAAUAUUAUUAGUAUUAGUAUGUAGGCGAUUUCCCAUUACCUUUUUUACAAAAUACCCUUGUAUCUAUUGCUUUGAUGUGAUCAUCAAAUUAUUACUCGAUUGAUUUAUUAAGCCUAUCGACAAAGCGACCAAGACAUUGUAAACAAAAAGGGAGGGGCACUUUUUAAUCAAACUGAAGUAAUGAGGUCAUUAUCUGAUUGAGAAAUCAUCUAAACCGCAGCCGGGGAAUUCCAAUAUUCAGGGUCUAUGUGGAUGGUGUAGAACGACGCUUAGACUCUGACGUCAUAAAUUUAUGAGCCAAGCUACAGUAUAAAAGCUUCGGCAGUGAACUGGCCUUAGUGAGAUAGGGAUGCCGACGAGCUGAACAAUAAAAGAAAGGGAGACCCAAAAUUUCAAAGGGUGCUGAAACUGGAGUGGUGGUCGCAGGUUCAUUGAUAGGAGGACUCGACGUUAUAUGAAAACUCCACACACAAACAAACAUUUCGUAAAUAAAAUUCGCCUCGGAGGAUUUCUGGCCGUUUUGAGAGGGGGACUUUCAGCUGAGCAUCUCCAGGAAAAAUCUGCCAAAUUUGUCUGCCACUUGAAACCUCCCAACGUCGGUGACUAUACUGUCAGAAUGAGCGACACUAUGUGCUCAAUGGGCUGCGACAUUGGCCCAUGUGCAUCAGGAUGUGACCCGAGCCGAGGCGGUGGCGGUUGCGGUUGCUGCUGCUGUAUCCUGUGUGUGAUCGUGGUUCUCGGUGUUAUAGCCGGAUUGAUUGUACUAAUACUUUCGCUUACACAAACCAUUUAACUCAAACUUCACCAUGAAAAAUCAAGUUCCAGUGAUUCAAAGACUGCAGUCAUAAAUUAGAACUUUAUUUCUCACGAAACUGCUUAGCAUAUUACAUCUAUGAGUAACGACACGGGGUAUAACAUCCAGCAUAACGUACAGACAGACAUGAAUUGUACACACGGCCUAUCUGACCACGGCCCAAUUUUAUAGAGCCUAUAAGCAAAACAACUUGCUAGGCAAAGUCAAAAUACUGCUUAACAGAAACUGGUUAUCUAUCAGCCGAAAGUCCAUAAGGUUUACACAAUUGUGACUGGUGCCCCACUCAUUUUUGUUAAGCAUAGACAUUAAGCGUUAUUUUCUGCUUAACAGCUAAAGGAAAUUGGGCCCAUGUCAAGUGCAAACAAAGCUUUUAUCGUCUCAAAUCAAACUGUAAUCAUAAAACUACUUUUCACGAACACUUUUGAUCACAACAUCCAUAAUACUUUGAACUCCGUGACCAAGUAAAAGGUAUAUUAUUGGAAUUGAAAACAAAUAAUAAUAAUCACUACCCUAUGCUUUAAUGUGCCUUUGAUGUGAUCAAUUUGCAUCCGUGGAAUGUUUGUUAAUAUUGUUGUUAUAGUGGUUGUUUUGUUAUAUUUUCUUUUACUGAGUUAGACAAUGGCAUUGCCCAUCCACGGGACAGGGUUUAUAAACAAAUUUGUUAAAAUAUCUUUUAAGUAAUUGCUCUCCAAAUCGUUGUUAUUUGUAUUUAUAUUAGCUUAGCUAGAUCAAAGUAAAAAUCAAAAAUGAAACAGAGCGUGUGAAAACAACUGUAUGGAUUUCUGCAAACUGGUCAAGAGUUGUUUGUUGUUCUGUGUUAUGUAAUUUAGAAGUUUAAUUGAUUGUACUAUCGUGUUGCUUUUUUUUUGCCGAAAAAGACUCUAUGCGUCCAUUUAAUCCAAAAAGUACAAAUAUUCAAAACCAAGUAUAGAAUAACCACUUACAAAUAGAUCAAGACAUAAUUUGCAACAAUGUUGAACAGCUUCAACAAAAUGGUUAACCAAAGCUAUUAAACAAAUGUAUAGUACCAUAAUGACGUCCCAAAGUGGACCAGAGCAAACAAUGUGGCUUCUUUUACAGACAGUUUGAAAUAUUAUUGGGCACUGCUGUGGUAGACAAGGGACCUUUUUUAAAAGUAUGUUUCAUACAACUGAAAUUAAUAUUCACAUUAUUUAAACCUUUUAAAUUAUUUUUUGAAAACUUGUUGUAGGGAUGUACUUUGAUGUACCUAGCAACUAUUUAUUGGCGGCCCCAACCAAGCCCUACUGAGUCAAAAGUCGGUUACUGGUUGGUGUAAACAGCAUCGUCACCGCGGUUCAACCAAACACCGAUGACCAAAGAUCAAACAUGAUUCUGGUAAGGGUCGCCAAAACGCACAUUGAUGUUGCCUGAACAAAGACAGUCAAAUAGGGUCUCACACUUAAGCCCCUCCCCGUUUGGGCCCAACUUAAUAAAGCUAUUAACCAGAAAUUUCCUUCGCAGCGAAUUGUUUUCCUCAGCUAAGCAACAACUUUGUGGGACACCAGUCACCACAAUGUAAACUGAAUGUUAAUUUGGAUUGUUAGUAUUUUUUGUAAGCCAUUCUUUUUCUUUGCUUGGCAAUUUUUUGUUCUUACAGGCAUAUGAAAUGGGGCCUUUUAUUGACUUUAGCUAUGGAGUUCAAGGUCCAUGGAAGCUGUGGGGCAUGCGUGACAUGCAGCGUUCUUGUAUCACUUUGUAUUUUACUUAUUUUAUGUUAAUACAUGUUGUUAAAAUGUU